This is a long non-coding RNA of Armigeres subalbatus, 688 nucleotides long. RefSeq lists it as uncharacterized. The transcript has 3 exons. The record is from RefSeq and is a predicted model, not a curated record. NCBI's taxonomy places the organism in Eukaryota, Metazoa, Arthropoda, Insecta, Diptera, Culicidae.
GUUAUUCGGUAUCUCCGUGCGAGACCAUCGCCGUCGCCAUCGUUUGGCGAAAAAAUUGUGAAAAACCCGUCGAGGAAAUUAUUGUGCGCGGUUUAGAAGUGAUUUUCGGCUUCAUUAGCUUCGCGAAUGUGUCGGACAUAGAAUGCAGAUUUCACUGCACUAAACGUCACCGUGUUUAAGGAUAAUUUAGUCCCCACGCGAAUCCGACCUUGAGUCGCAUGUGCCUACAACGAACGAACAAAAGGUAGGACUCUCUUAGUCGCAUGCCACGAUGUAGGAUUAACCUCAAUUCAAUCGCAGGCAAAAUCUCCGAAACUUCGCAGAAAGGUAGACGGUAAGAGGAAGCACGGAACCGAUCACCGGUGAAUUUUAUUCAACGGGCUGACAACCGAAUAGUAGAAGCUCACUCAAAAGCCGGAGAAGCGAGCCACAACUUCGUCUGGUGGAAAUCGUUCCUGUUUUUUUUGACACCAAUUGGGAUCCAGACUGAACCAAAGCACCCCAUCCAUUGGGGUGUUUGGGUGGUACCGAAACAGUUGGACGGUUUCGGACGGAAACCUCGUCAUCGACAACGAGUACGUCAAGGGCCUCGGAGGGACCCCAUCCAGCAUCCCGGUCGCGCUGGACGGCCAGAGGGGUCUCCAGCGGAGGAAUCAGCCUUGCGGGUCGUGUGGAGAGCGACGACGCG